AAUGAACGUUGGCGGCAUGGAUUAGGCAUGCAAGUCGAGCGAGAAGGGUUUUGAAGCUUGCUUUAGAACCCGGAAAGCGGCGCAAGGGAGAGUAACGAGUAGUUAUCUACCCCAAGGCCCGGAAUAGCUGCGGGAAACUGCAGGUAAUGCCGGAUAAUAUCCCCGGAUCAAAGGUGUGAUUCCGCCUUGGGAGGAGACUGCUUUGUACUAGCUAGUUGGUAGGGUAAUGGCCUACCAAGGCUACGAUGCAUAGCGGGCGUGAGGGCGUGGCCCGUCUCACUGGGACUGAAACACUGCCCAGACACCUACGGGUGGCUGCAGUCGAGAAUCUUCGGCAAUGGGCGAAAGCCUGACCGAGCGAUGCCGCGUGCGGGAUGAAGGCCCUCGGGUUGUAAACCGCUGUCGUAGAGGAGAAAGGUCUGAUGAAGAAUCAGAUUUGAUCUAUUCUAGGAGGAGGUCGGGGCUAAGUUCGUGCCAGCCGCCGCGGUAA
RNAcentral lists this ribosomal RNA (490 nucleotides) under uncultured bacterium. RNAcentral describes it as "partial 16S ribosomal RNA". It matches the Rfam family "Bacterial small subunit ribosomal RNA", at positions 29 to 523 of the family's 1533-position model. The record is from RNAcentral.